GAGGUAGACAGAAGACUUACCUAGUAUACUCUUUUUAUGGACAAGAAAACGGAGAAAGUUUAAAGAGACUUGACCCAGCUUAACAAAAGGUCUGAUGGAAGGCUUUCUCAUUUCACAGCUGACAGCACUGGAGACAGAGCAGAAUCACAGAAGAAGAAAAUAAUGAGACCCUCAACUGGCUCUGAGAAAGCAAGCUAUCAUCUUGUGAAAUGCCCUGUGGAAAAGCCCAUGUAGCAAAGGACAGCCAAUAGC
Long non-coding RNA from Pan troglodytes (chimpanzee), 252 nucleotides. RefSeq lists it as uncharacterized. The transcript has 3 exons. The record is from RefSeq and is a predicted model, not a curated record. NCBI's taxonomy places the organism in Eukaryota, Metazoa, Chordata, Mammalia, Primates, Hominidae.